This 429-nucleotide ribosomal RNA is filed under the name bacterium. RNAcentral's name for it is "partial 16S ribosomal RNA". It matches the Rfam family "Bacterial small subunit ribosomal RNA", at positions 355 to 776 of the family's 1533-position model. The record is from RNAcentral.
UAGAGAAUCUUCGGCAAUGGGGGCAACCCUGACCGAGCAACGCCGCGUGAGUGAAGAAGGUUUUCGGAUCGUAAAGCUCUGUUGUAAGAGAAGAACGUGUGUGAGAGUGGAAAGUUCACACAGUGACGGUAACUUACCAGAAAGGGACGGCUAACUACGUGCCAGCAGCCGCGGUAAUACGUAGGUCCCGAGCGUUGUCCGGAUUUAUUGGGCGUAAAGCGAGCGCAGGCGGUUUAAUAAGUCUGAAGUUAAAGGCAGUGGCUUAACCAUUGUUCGCUUUGGAAACUGUUAAACUUGAGUGCAGAAGGGGAGAGUGGAAGUCCAUGUGUAGCGGUGAAAUGCGUCGAUAUAUGGAGGAACACCGGUGGCGAAAGCGGCUCUCUGGUCUGUAACUGACGCUGAGGCUCGAAAGCGUGGGGAGCAAACAGG